GACGAACGCUGGCGGCGUGCUUAACACAUGCAAGUCGAACGGAAAGGCCCUGCUUUUGUGGGGUGCUCGAGUGGCGAACGGGUGAGUAACACGUGAGUAACCUGCCCUUGACUUUGGGAUAACUUCAGGAAACUGGGGCUAAUACCGGAUAGGAGCUCCUGCUGCAUGGUGGGGGUUGGAAAGUUUCGGCGGUUGGGGAUGGACUCGCGGCUUAUCAGCUUGUUGGUGGGGUAGUGGCUUACCAAGGCUUUGACGGGUAGCCGGCCUGAGAGGGUGACCGGCCACAUUGGGACUGAGAUACGGCCCAGACUCCUACGGGAGGCAGCAGUGGGGAAUAUUGCACAAUGGGCGGAAGCCUGAUGCGGCAACGCCGCGUGCGGGAUGACGGCCUUCGGGUUGUAAACCGCUUUCGCCUGUGACGAAGCGUGAGUGACGGUAAUGGGUAAAGAAGCACCGGCUAACUACGU
RNAcentral lists this ribosomal RNA (467 nucleotides) under uncultured bacterium. Its description in RNAcentral is "partial 16S ribosomal RNA". It matches the Rfam family "Bacterial small subunit ribosomal RNA", at positions 28 to 506 of the family's 1533-position model. The record is from RNAcentral.